This 64-nucleotide ribosomal RNA is filed under the name uncultured bacterium. Its description in RNAcentral is "partial 16S ribosomal RNA". The record is from RNAcentral.
UAGGCUUCACAUCCCAAGGAUCCUUUAGAGAUAGAGGAGUGAUAGUUUUCUAGAGCUUGGAGAC